GUGCUCGCUUCAGCAGCACAUAUACUAAAAUUGGAACAACAGAGAAGAUUAGCAUGACCCCUGCAUAAGGAUGACAUGCAAAUUUGUGAAACGUUCCACGUUUUU
This is a small nuclear RNA of Piliocolobus tephrosceles (Ugandan red Colobus), 105 nucleotides long. The record is from Ensembl. Lineage: Eukaryota; Metazoa; Chordata; Mammalia; Primates; Cercopithecidae.